Molecule: long non-coding RNA, 2483 nt
Filed under: Schizosaccharomyces pombe (fission yeast)
Lineage: Eukaryota; Fungi; Ascomycota; Schizosaccharomycetes; Schizosaccharomycetales; Schizosaccharomycetaceae
Source: RNAcentral
CUAUUAAAACAUGCUGGAACACAUGGCAUUGAUAUAUGUUUUAUGAAAUCCAGAUUAACACGUAGCCCACAAUUAUCGCAUUGAACAUGGACGUCACCCAAUGCAUAUCCUGAGACAGCGCAAAUGGAGCCAGCGCUAUCCGCGGGAAACAUUUUAUAGAUGCGUCUCAGCUUAUGCCCCUCUUUGUACAUAAUGUGAACUUUUUGUUCUCCUGGCUUAGAACUCACAAGGUUCACAGCAGAUCCGGUGUUAAUAGAACCAGCUUUAUUUUGAUUAGAUUCAGAAGAACGAAGUUCAGGGACCGAAUAAGGUGAUGUGAGGGAAUUUCUUCUUAUCGUCGAUUGGAAAGAAGAAGAAGAAAACCGAAACUUUGAAGAAGAUGGAGAAGCAGGUCUCGUAAAAGGGGGAGAAGAAAAGUUGCGAGCAUGCUCAGGCGCCUGUAAACGCGCAUAUAAAAGUUUUGAAGCUGAUGACUGGCGCGAGUCAGUUUGCUUCGCAAAAUAAAUACUCGAAGGAUUGUCUUGAAGCUUAAGGAAACCGUUUAAGAUAGGAGAGAGUACAUAAGGCCUUUUGGAAAAAUUGGAGCUUCUAAAAGACAAAAGUGCUGGGAUAGAAAACUUUUCUCUCAAAGGAAAACAUGUAACUGUACUCAACGAAAGGACAUUAUUUGGAUAAGUUUCCAUUGUGUACUUUGGAGGGCUAUGUGGUACAUAAAAUUUAUCAUGAAGUGGCGCCGCAAGCUUCAGAUGGGCCUGUAACUUAGAUCGCAAUGAGCGAGAAAGACGAACAAUUUUCCCAAACGUAGAUACAGAAUUUUUAUCAAGGUCACAAACAACAAGCGGAAUAUUGUCCAGAGGAACGUCGUCCAUAUGAAAAAAGUACGAUAGAGUGCCAAUAAUGUACGAACAAGGAGCUUCAAAACAAGAUAUCAAACGCCUGGGUAAAACAGGAAUAUAAAGCCCUUGCCACGUAAGAGGAUAAAGCAAAUGUAGUAAAGCUUGUGAUGCAUAUCCCAGCAUUCCUAAGUUUUCAGACAAAAAUAUAACUUUAGCUUCCAUUAAAGCAGCCUCAAAAAGAACAAGAAUAUUAGGGAUACUUAAUGCACGAAAUAACGGAUAUAAGUCAACAUCAUUCCAACCUGGGAUUUCAUUGACUGGACUCCUAAAUGCGUAAAGAUUUAAUGGGCCGACAUUAACUUGCAACUGCAGAAGUCCUUUCGGCGGCAAAGGAACAUCACAGCAAAUGUUUUUUACAAACGAUUGAAGGUUUAGUGAUUUAAGGGAAUUUAAAUCUGACGAAGGGAUAAAAUCGAGAUCUUCAGCUUGAAUAGAGGAGCAUACUAUUCGAAGCCAAUCCCGACAAAAGGACUGCAAAUGUGAAUGCUUACUCAAUAAUCCAUAAGCAUUGGGUAUCCAUAAAGUCCUGUUAUUUGUCAGUCCAUGAACAAAUCUAGGUAAUUUAUAGCGCAUAGGACGAAGAAGUUCAGUAUAAAGAAUAAUGUUUUCUUCACAGACAUCAAUCUUUUCCAAGAGUAUAGGAUCGAUGGAAUCACUCCCUUCAAGUUCCUUUUCUUGCAUUUUUAAUAAUAAUGAAGAAAGUUUUGAUCGCUCCGUUUCUAAACUGGAUAAAAGCUUCUCGGCAACCUCACGGUCUUCCACAGUCGUAUUAUUAGCUCUCCAAACUUCACAUUCCUUUUCCAAGUCAUUUUGCAUAGAUUGAGGCAUUGCAACCCAAACUACCACGCAAAUCCCAUACAAGUGGCUGUUAUUGUCACUGGUCAAAGCAAAAGAGUGGUAGGUUGAUACAGGUCUAACAUCCGAUUCUUUUAUAGUUAUGUCGUUAGGAAAAGCAAACAUCGGAACAUAAUUAGGGAAAUCACAACGGUCAAUAGUCGGUGUCUCAUUUUUUAUGUCCUUGGAAGAAGGGAAUUGAUGGAGGAGAGAAGGAGGAUAGCGUCUCUCGAAUGGAUGGGUAGCAGCGAAUAAGGGCAGGGCAUCAGGAUAUGCAACAUAAGACUGAUACAAAUCAUUUUGGGUAUGCGUAGUACCGAUACUAACGCGGUUUUGUAAAUGCUCUUUAUCGAUGACAGAAGGCUCGGAGUAUGGCUUUCUGGAAUGAUACUUUCGAGGUGUUGAAGUAUUAGAGGAUAAGCUACGACGAUGUAAGGACGUAACGGAGGCAUGGUCAAAUGAAUCCUUUUUUUUCUUGGUCGGUGUGUUAGAUGUUGAGUGAUGAUAAUCUAAAAACGGCUUCUUUGGACCCACAGAAUUGGAUCCAGUGGUGUUGUGAUGCGCAAAGGUAUUUUCUUUAUAAAAAGAAGACUCAGAAGUGAUUGACACUCUUUUUAAUGGCGACUUCCUUGUAUUGUUUUGGAUGAUAGAACUAGAAACAGAUAUGGCGUCUUCAUCAAGUCUAUCUGCUCGAAAUUGAGAAUUGGAUACACUCACAAAUCCGUUAGAGAGACCUGCGAGAAAGAAAUGAUC